RNAcentral lists this ribosomal RNA (254 nucleotides) under uncultured bacterium. RNAcentral describes it as "partial 16S ribosomal RNA". It matches the Rfam family "Bacterial small subunit ribosomal RNA", at positions 524 to 776 of the family's 1533-position model. The record is from RNAcentral.
UACGUAGGGUGCAAGCGUUAAUCGGAAUUACUGGGCGUAAAGCGUGCGCAGGCGGUUUUGUAAGUCAGAUGUGAAAUCCCCGGGCUUAACCUGGGAACUGCGUUUGAAACUACAAGGCUAGAGUGUGACAGAGGGGGGUAGAAUUCCACGUGUAGCAGUGAAAUGCGUAGAGAUGUGGAGGAACACCGAUGGCGAAGGCAGCCCCCCUGGGUCAAGAUUGACGCUCAUGCACGAAAGCGUGGGGAGCAAACAGG